RNAcentral lists this ribosomal RNA (253 nucleotides) under uncultured bacterium. Its description in RNAcentral is "partial 16S ribosomal RNA". It matches the Rfam family "Bacterial small subunit ribosomal RNA", at positions 524 to 776 of the family's 1533-position model. The record is from RNAcentral.
UACGUAGGCAGCAAGCGUUGUUCGGAAUCACUGGGCGUAAAGCGCACGUAGGCGGCUUUUUAAGUCAGGGGUGAAAUCCUGGAGCUCAACUCCAGAACUGCCUUUGAUACUGAGAAGCUUGAGUCCGGGAGAGGUGAGUGGAACUGCGAGUGUAGAGGUGAAAUUCGUAGAUAUUCGCAAGAACACCAGUGGCGAAGGCGGCUCACUGGCCCGGUACUGACGCUGAGGUGCGAAAGCGUGGGGAGCAAACAGG